Molecule: ribosomal RNA, 430 nt
Filed under: uncultured bacterium
Lineage: Bacteria
Description: bacterial SSU rRNA
Rfam family: Bacterial small subunit ribosomal RNA
Source: RNAcentral
UAGGGAAUCUUCCGCAAUGGGCGCAAGCCUGACGGAGCAACGCCGCGUGAGUGAUGAAGGCCUUCGGGUUGUAAAACUCUGUCUUCUGUGAAGAACAAGCCUGUGAGUGGAAAGCUCAGGCCCUGACGGUAACAGAGGAGGAAGCCCCGGCUAACUACGUGCCAGCAGCCGCGGUAAUACGUAGGGGGCAAGCGUUGUCCGGAUUCACUGGGCGUAAAGCGCGCGCAGGCGGUCAUCUGCGUCCGGGGUGAAAACCCAGAGCUCAACUCUGGGACUGCCUUGGAUACGGGGUGACUUGAGGAUCGGAGAGGCAAGGGGAAUUCCACGUGUAGCGGUGAAAUGCGUAGAGAUGUGGAGGAACACCUGUGGCGAAGGCGCCUUGCUGGCCGAUUUCUGACGCUGAGGCGCGAAAGCGUGGGGAGCAAACAGG